This 959-nucleotide ribosomal RNA is filed under the name uncultured marine bacterium. Its description in RNAcentral is "bacterial SSU rRNA". It matches the Rfam family "Bacterial small subunit ribosomal RNA", at positions 59 to 1062 of the family's 1533-position model. The record is from RNAcentral.
AAGUCGAACGAAGUCUUCGGACUUAGUGGCGCACGGGUGAGUAUCAUGUGGGAAUCUACCUAAAGGUUCGGAAUAACUGCGGGAAACUGUAGCUAAUACCGGAUGUGUCUGUAAAGAGAAAGAUUUAUCGCCUUUAGAUGAGCCCGCACUAGAUUAGCUUGCUGGUGAGGUAACUGUUCCACCAAGGCUACGAUCUAUAGCUGAUUUGAGAGGAUGAUCAGCCACACUGGGACUGAGACACGGCCCAGACUCCUACGGGAGGCAGCAGUAGGGAAUAUUGGACAAUGGGGGAAACCCUGAUCCAGCAAUGCCGCGUGAGUGAAGAAGGCCCUCGGGUUGUAAAACUCUUUCAUCAAUGAUGAUAAUGACAUUAGUUGAAGAAGAAGCUCCGGCUAACUCCGUGCCAGCAGCCGCGGUAAUACGGAGGGGGCUAGCGUUGUUCGGAAUUACUGGGCGUAAAGCGUAUGUAGGCGGAUCAAAAAGUUAGAUGUGAAAUCCCUGGGCUCAACCCAGGAACUGCAUUUAAAACUAGUGAUCUAGAAUUUGGUAGGGGUUAGUAGAAUUUCCAGUGUGGAGGUGAAAUUCGUAGAUAUUGGAAAGAAUACCAGUGGCGAAGGCGACUGACUGGGCCAUUUUUGACGCUGAGAUACGAAAGCGUGGGUAGCAAACAGGAUUAGAUACCCUGGUAGUCCACGCAGUAAACGAUGAGUGCUAGUCGCUGGAUCAAUAGGUUCAGUGUCGAAGCUAACGCAUUAAGCACUCCGCCUGGGAAGUACGGUCGCAAGAUUAAAACUCAAAUAAAUUGACGGGGGCCCGCACAAGCGGUGGAGCAUGUGGUUUAAUUCGAAGCAACGCGAAGAACCUUACCAGACCUUGACAUGGUGUGUAUGAACUACAGAAUCGUAGUUCUUCAGUUCGGCUGGCACACACACAGGUGCUGCAUGGCUGUCGUCAGCUCG